UUGGAGGGCAAGUCUGGUGCCAGCAGCCGCGGUAAUUCCAGCUCCAAUAGCGUAUAUUAAAGUUGUUGCAGUUAAAAAGCUCGUAGUUGAAUUUCGGGGUUAGUAGGUUGGUCAUGCCUCUGGUGUGUACUGGUCUCACUGAUUCCUCCUUCCUGAUGAACCUUAAUGCCAUUAACUUGGUGUUUUGGGGAAUUUGGACUGUUACUUUGAAAAAAUUAGAGUGUUUAAAGCAAGCUAACGCUUGAAUACAUUAGCAUGGAAUAAUGAAACAGGACGUUCGAUCCUAUUUUGUUGGUUUCUAGGAUUGACGUAAUGAUUAAUAGGGAUAGUUGGGGGCAUUAGUAUUCAAUUGUCAGAGGUGAAAUUCUUGGAUUUAUUGAAGACUAACUACUGCGAAAGCAUUUGCCAAGGAUGUUUUCAUUAAUCAAGAACGAAAGUUAGGGGAUCGAAGACGAUCAGAUACCGUCGUAGUCUUAACCAUAAACUAUGCCGACUAGGGAUCGGAUGAUGUUAAUUUUUUAAUGACUCAUUCGGCGCCUUACGGGAAAC
This 549-nucleotide ribosomal RNA is filed under the name uncultured Rhizophagus. RNAcentral describes it as "SSU rRNA". It matches the Rfam family "Eukaryotic small subunit ribosomal RNA", at positions 548 to 1098 of the family's 1831-position model. The record is from RNAcentral. Lineage: Eukaryota; Fungi; Glomeromycota; Glomeromycetes; Glomerales; Glomeraceae.